GCUCUGACAUUUGUCAGCCCACUGAUCACCAGGGUUGAUCUGGCUGAUCUGGCUGGCAAGGUAGGGGGUGCCCUUCUCC
Molecule: long non-coding RNA, 79 nt
Organism: Mustela erminea (ermine)
Lineage: Eukaryota; Metazoa; Chordata; Mammalia; Carnivora; Mustelidae
Exons: 3
Source: RefSeq, a predicted model, not a curated record